GUCCUGUGCUGGGUAGUUGCUCUGUAUUAAUUUACAGAGAGGAAAGUCCGAACACACAAUCUUGUUUUUACAGGAUAAGCGUAGCGGGUAACGCCCGUCGGGAGCAAUUCUAGGGUUGCGAACAGUGACGAACCGAUUUAGUUCGGGUGAAACGGCAAAAUACCUACGUGUGUGCAAGAUCGUGCUCCGACGCAAGUCGGAGAGAAUCGCUUGAGCCUCCAAGCAAUUGAAGGCCUAGAUAAAUAGCUAUCACCUCACUUCGUGAGGCACAGAAUUCGGCUUAUAGGCACAAGACAAGA
This 299-nucleotide RNase P RNA is filed under the name Patescibacteria group bacterium. RNAcentral's name for it is "RNase P RNA component class A". It matches the Rfam family "Bacterial RNase P class A". Rfam says of the family: Ribonuclease P (RNase P) is a ubiquitous endoribonuclease, found in archaea, bacteria and eukarya as well as chloroplasts and mitochondria. Its best characterised activity is the generation of mature 5'-ends of tRNAs by cleaving the 5'-leader elements of precursor-tRNAs. Cellular RNase Ps are ribonucleoproteins. The record is from RNAcentral.